UACUCCUACGGGAGGCAGCAGUGGGGAAUCUUGCGCAAUGGGCGAAAGCCUGACGCAGCCAUGCCGCGUGAAUGAUGAAGGUCUUAGGAUUGUAAAAUUCUUUCACCGGGGACGAUAAUGACGGUACCCGGAGAAGAAGCCCCGGCUAACUUCGUGCCAGCAGCCGCGGUAAUACGAAGGGGGCUAGCGUUGCUCGGAAUUACUGGGCGUAAAGGGCGCGUAGGCGGACAUUUAAGUCAGGGGUGAAAUCCCAGAGCUCAACUCUGGAACUGCCUUUGAUACUGGGUGUCUUGAGUGUGAGAGAGGUAUGUGGAACUCCGAGUGUAGAGGUGAAAUUCGUAGAUAUUCGGAAGAACACCAGUGGCGAAGGCGACAUACUGGCUCAUUACUGACGCUGAGGCGCGAAAGCGUGGGGAGCAAACAGGAUUAGAUACCCUGGUAGUC
Molecule: ribosomal RNA, 444 nt
Filed under: uncultured bacterium
Lineage: Bacteria
Description: bacterial SSU rRNA
Rfam family: Bacterial small subunit ribosomal RNA
Source: RNAcentral